RNAcentral lists this ribosomal RNA (408 nucleotides) under uncultured bacterium. RNAcentral's name for it is "partial 16S ribosomal RNA". It matches the Rfam family "Bacterial small subunit ribosomal RNA", at positions 28 to 526 of the family's 1533-position model. The record is from RNAcentral.
GACGAACGCUGGCGGCGUGCUUAACACAUGCAAGUCGAACGAAGUGGCGAACGGGUGAGUAACGCGUAAUCAACCGGCCCUUCAGAGGGGGACAACAGGUGGAAACGACUGCUAAUACAGCAUACUGAAGGAGGGGAGGCCGUCUGAUAAGCUGGUUGGCGGGGUAACGGCCCACCAAGGCGAUGAGCAGUAGCCGGUCUGGGAGGAUGAACGGCCACAUUGGGACUGGGACACGGCCCAGACUCCCACGGGAGGCAGCAGUGGGGAAUCGUCCGCAAUGGACGAAAGUCUUACGGGGCAACGCCGCGUGGGUGAUGACAGCCUUCGGGUUGUAAAGCUCUGUUAAUCGGGACGCGGUACCGAAAUAGAAAGCCACGGCUAACUACGUGCCAGCAGCCGCGGUAAUAC